Molecule: ribosomal RNA, 117 nt
Organism: Sinocyclocheilus anshuiensis
Lineage: Eukaryota; Metazoa; Chordata; Actinopteri; Cypriniformes; Cyprinidae
Source: Ensembl
GCCAGCAGCCAUAUUACCCUGCAGCCCAAGAUUGGUUGCCCACUGAAGCUAAGCAGGGUUGAGCCUGGUCAGUACCUGGAUGGGAGACCACCUGGGAAAACUAGGUUGCUGCUGGAA